This 19-nucleotide non-coding RNA is filed under the name Arabidopsis thaliana (thale cress). The record is from RNAcentral. Lineage: Eukaryota; Viridiplantae; Streptophyta; Magnoliopsida; Brassicales; Brassicaceae.
UUAGAGUGUUGAAUGUGAA